Molecule: ribosomal RNA, 256 nt
Filed under: uncultured bacterium
Lineage: Bacteria
Description: partial 16S ribosomal RNA
Rfam family: Bacterial small subunit ribosomal RNA
Source: RNAcentral
UACGUAGGGGGCGAGCGUUGUCCGGAUUUAUUGGGCGUAAAGAGCUCGUAGGCGGUUUGGCAAGUUGGGUGUGAAAACUCCGGGCUCAACUCGGAGACGCCACUCGAUACUGCCAUGACUCGAGUCCGGUAGGGGAGUGGCGGAAUUCCUGGUGUAGCGGUGAAAUGCGCAGAUAUCAGGAGGAACACCGGUGGCGAAGGCGGCACUCUGGGCCGGUACUGACGCUGAGGGAGCGAAAGCGUGGGGAGCGAACAGG